RNAcentral lists this ribosomal RNA (118 nucleotides) under Diaphorina citri (Asian citrus psyllid). The record is from RNAcentral. Lineage: Eukaryota; Metazoa; Arthropoda; Insecta; Hemiptera; Psyllidae.
GCCAGCGGCGAUGGCACGUUGAAUACACCAGUUCCCAAUGGAUCACUGCAGUUAAGCAACGUUGCGAGUGGUUAGUAUCCGGAUGGGUGACCAUCUGGGCAAUCGCGAGCUGCUGGCU